This 433-nucleotide ribosomal RNA is filed under the name uncultured bacterium. Its description in RNAcentral is "partial 16S ribosomal RNA". It matches the Rfam family "Bacterial small subunit ribosomal RNA", at positions 29 to 507 of the family's 1533-position model. The record is from RNAcentral.
AACGAACGCUGGCGGCAUGCCUAACACAUGCAAGUCGAACGAGACCUUCGGGUCUAGUGGCGCACGGGUGCGUAACGCGUGGGAACCUGCCCUUAGGUUCGGAAUAACUCCCCGAAAGGGGUGCUAAUACCGGAUAAUGUCUUCGGACCAAAGAUUUAUCGCCUUUGGAUGGGCCCGCGUUGGAUUAGCUAGUUGGUAGGGUAAAAGCCUACCAAGGCGACGAUCCAUAGCUGGUCUGAGAGGAUGAUCAGCCACACUGGGACUGAGACACGGCCCAGACUCCUACGGGAGGCAGCAGUGGGGAAUAGUGGACAAUGGGCGAAAGCCUGAUCCAGCAAGGCCGCGUGAGUGAUGAAGGCCUUAGGGUUGUAAAGCUCUUUUACCCGGGAUGAGAAUGACAGUACCGGGAGAAUAAGCUCCGGCUAACUCCGUG